This 1584-nucleotide ribosomal RNA is filed under the name Pedionomus torquatus (plains-wanderer). RNAcentral's name for it is "16S ribosomal RNA". It matches the Rfam family "Bacterial large subunit ribosomal RNA", at positions 274 to 2837 of the family's 2925-position model. The record is from RNAcentral. Lineage: Eukaryota; Metazoa; Chordata; Aves; Charadriiformes; Pedionomidae.
AGCCCACCCUAGCCCAAUCACACCACCACUUGACAACUAAUAACUUACUUUAUCACACAAACCAAAACAUUCUACCAACUUAGUAUAGGCGAUAGAAAAGACUCCUUGGCGCAAUAGAAACUUGUACCGUAAGGGAAAGAUGAAAUAAUAAUGAAAAACUAAGCAACAAAAAGCAAAGAUGAACCCUUGUACCUUUUGCAUCAUGAUUUAGCAAGAAUAACCAAGCAAAGCGAACUUAAGCUUGCCUCCCCGAAACUCAGGCGAGCUACUUGCAGGCAGCUAUUUAUGAGCGAACCCGUCUCUGUCGCAAAAGAAUGGGACGACUUGCCAGUAGAGGUGAAAAGCCAACCGAGCCGAGUGAUAGCUGGUUGCCUGUGAAACGAAUCUAAGUUCCCCCUCGAUCUCUCCUCCCCCAGGACACCUUAAACCUCAAUGUAGCAGAUCUAGAGUUAUUUAAAGGGGGUACAGCCCCUUUAAAAAAGAAAACACCCUCCCCUAGCGGAUAACCACCAAAUCUUCUUAGAGUGUAGGCCUUCAAGCAGCCACCAAUAGAGAAUGCGUCACAGCUCCACUUUAAAAAUUCAAUAACAAAAUGAAUCCCUUCCCACUAGCAGGCCAAUCUAUGACAAUAGAAGAAUCUAUGCUAAAAUGAGUAACUAGGGAUAACCCCUCUAAGCGCAAACUUACAUCCUACAUUAUUAACAAACCAUAAACUAAUAUUUCAACUCUAACAAGAUUAAAAUAUUUAACAAACCUUGUUACCCCAACCCAGGAGCGCUAAAUUAGAAAGAUUAAAAUCUGUAAAAGGAACUAGGCAAACCUAAGGCCCGACUGUUUACCAAAAACAUAGCCUUCAGCUAACCAAGUAUUGAAGGUGAUGCCUGCCCAGUGACAUAUUGUUCAACGGCCGCGGUAUCCUAACCGUGCAAAGGUAGCGCAAUCAAUGUCCCAUAAAUCGAGACUUGUAUGAAUGGCUAAACGAGGUCUUAACUGUCUCCUACAGAUAAUCAGUGAAAUUGAUCUCCCCGUGCAAAAGCAGGAAUAACCCCAUAAGACGAGAAGACCCUGUGGAACUUAAAAAUCAACGGCCACCACAUACAAACCAAAACCUACUAGGCUUACGCCUACACAAAACACUGGCCGACAUUUUUCGGUUGGGGCGACCUUGGAGCACAAAGAACCCUCCAAAAACAAGACUAACCCUCUUAACCAAGAACCACACUUCAACGUGCUAAUAGCAACCAGACCCAAUAAUACUUGACAAAUGGACCAAGCUACCCCAGGGAUAACAGCGCAAUCCCCUUCAAGAGCCCACAUCGACAAGGGGGUUUACGACCUCGAUGUUGGAUCAGGACAUCCUAAUGGUGCAGCCGCUAUUAAGGGUUCGUUUGUUCAACGAUUAAUAAUCCUACGUGAUCUGAGUUCAGACCGGAGCAAUCCAGGUCGGUUUCUAUCUAUGACUAACUUUUCCUAGUACGAAAGGACCGGAAAAGUAGGGCCAAUACUCUAAGCACGCCCUUCCUCUAAGUAAUGAGCCCCACUAAAUUACCAGAGGUACCCUCCCCUAAUCCUAAAAAAGGACCG